Molecule: ribosomal RNA, 135 nt
Filed under: uncultured bacterium
Lineage: Bacteria
Description: partial 16S ribosomal RNA
Rfam family: Bacterial small subunit ribosomal RNA
Source: RNAcentral
UGGGGAAUCUUGCGCAAUGGGCGAAAGCCUGACGCAGCAACGCCGCGUGCGGGAUGAAGGCCUUCGGGCUGUAAACCGCUUUCAGCAGGAACGAAAAUGACGGUACCUGCAGAAGAAGGAGCGGCCAACUACGUG